This 254-nucleotide ribosomal RNA is filed under the name uncultured prokaryote. RNAcentral's name for it is "partial 16S ribosomal RNA". It matches the Rfam family "Bacterial small subunit ribosomal RNA", at positions 525 to 777 of the family's 1533-position model. The record is from RNAcentral.
ACGUAGGGGGCGAGCGUUGUCCGGAUUUAUUGGGCGUAAAGAGCUCGUAGGCGGCUCGGUAAGUCGGGUGUGAAACCUCCAGGCUCAACCUGGAGACGCCACCCGAUACUGCCGUGGCUAGAGUCCGGUAGAGGAGCGUAGAAUUCCUGGUGUAGCGGUGAAGUGCGCAGAUAUCAGGAGGAAUACCAGCGGCGAAGGCGGCACUCUGGGCCGGUACUGACGUUGAGGAGCGAAAGCGUGGGGAGCAAACAGGA